CGGCCACGGCCGUAUCGGGAAACACCGCAAACACCCAGGAGGACGAGGAAACGCCGGAGGAAUGCACCACCAUCGAAUCCUCUUCGACAAAUACCACCCUGGAUACUUCGGCAAGGUCGGAAUGAGGUAUUUUCACAAGCUCCGUAAUAAAUUCCAUUGUCCGAUCGUCAACAUCGAUAAGCUCUGGUCACUUGUCCCAUCCGACCUGAAAGAAAAAGCGGUCUCCGAGGGUAAAUCAGGAAAUGCGCCUCUGAUUGACGUCACCCAGUUUGGGUAUUUUAAGGUUUUGGGUAAAGGAGUCUUGCCGGAGAAUCAACCUGUGGUAGUUAAGGCUAAGCU
Molecule: long non-coding RNA, 339 nt
Filed under: Coffea arabica (coffee)
Lineage: Eukaryota; Viridiplantae; Streptophyta; Magnoliopsida; Gentianales; Rubiaceae
Description: long non-coding RNA (CARA_LNC003150)
Source: RNAcentral